Molecule: long non-coding RNA, 865 nt
Organism: Bubalus bubalis (water buffalo)
Lineage: Eukaryota; Metazoa; Chordata; Mammalia; Artiodactyla; Bovidae
Exons: 2
Source: RefSeq, a predicted model, not a curated record
UAGAACACAUGCUACCAACGGGGAGACAAGUGAAAAUCUCUGAGAGUGAGAUCAAGGUAAUCAUCGGUCAGAUCAACUAAACCUGUAACAUGUCUUCACCAAGCAAGCUUGCUUUAACUGUUGCUACAAAUACCUUGCAUGUUCUCCAAGUAUCAGGUAGCUUAAACAAGUUGUCCAAGUUGUUUGUCAAGAACUUGGAGCCAGCUGUGUCCAGUUUAAGUUCAAGCCAGUUAAGACUGCUUAGGACCACCAGCCCUCCAAUUGGGCUUGAACAAGUGUUUGCCCAUGACCUUUUGACAUCAGAGGGCCCAAAACUCCACCCUCAGAACAUGCUAAUGUCUCCAUUUCUUGAAUCUUCAGCCUAUGAAGAAGCCUAUAGCAUAGUUUUGCCUGAGCAGAACAACAAUUACAUCACUUUCUAAUUUCCAAUCACCUUUUCCCAUGCUUCCCAUGCCUCAGCUUUAUCCCAUAAAUACCCCCAGCCCCUCAUUUCAGGGGAUGCUGGUUUGAGAGUUCUCCAUCUUUCUGUUUGGUCGCCUUGUGGAUGAGCCCUUUGGUGCAAAGUUUGGCAUCUCAGCAUUUGGUUUGCUGUAUAUGUCAGAAAGCAACCUGUUUAAGUAAGAAGAGGAUGUUGGGCAUGCACCCAGUCUUCUGUAGUGGAGCAGGCCAAGGAGAAGAAACUUGCAGGCAAACAGAUUCAGCUGUGCAGUUAGGAAGAGCUUGGGGAAAGGCAGCCUCUAGGGAGAGACUGAGGCUACCCUCCCCCUAUGGCUCCAGCUCCACCUCCACCUCUAUGCCGCGCUGGUUGGGAUCAAGGCUUUGGUACACAGCUACAGGACUGGGGCUGAGCUUGCAGGCUAAUAAG